UACGGGGGGUGCGAGCGUUGUCCGGAAUCACUGGGCGUAAAGGGCGCGUAGGUGGCUCUGUAAGUUUGCGGUGAAAUCCCGGGGCUCAACCCCGGGUCUGCCGUGGAUACUGCAAGGCUUGAGUACUGUAGAGGCAGGUAGAAUAUCGGGUGUAGCGGUGGAAUGCGUAGAGAUGAGAUAGAAGACCGGUGGCGAAGGAAGCCUGCUGGGCAGUAACUGACACUGAGGCGCGACAGCGUGGGGAGCAAACAGG
RNAcentral lists this ribosomal RNA (253 nucleotides) under uncultured bacterium. Its description in RNAcentral is "partial 16S ribosomal RNA". It matches the Rfam family "Bacterial small subunit ribosomal RNA", at positions 524 to 776 of the family's 1533-position model. The record is from RNAcentral.